This 399-nucleotide long non-coding RNA is filed under the name Salmo salar (Atlantic salmon). Its description in RNAcentral is "lncRNA (ENSSSAG00000118371.1)". The record is from RNAcentral. Lineage: Eukaryota; Metazoa; Chordata; Actinopteri; Salmoniformes; Salmonidae.
AGGCCUUCAUGAACAAUACGGUUUGUACAGGUUGGGUUUGUCCAAGGCCUUCAUGAACAAUACGGUUUGUACAGGUUGGGUUGGUCCAAGGCCUUCAUGAACAAUACGGUUUGUACGGGUUGGGUUGGUCCAAGGCCUUCAUGAACAAUACGGUUUGUACAGGUUGGGUUGGUCCAAGGCCUUCAUGAACAAUACGGUUUGUACGGGUUGGGUUGGUCCAAGGCCUUCAUGAACAAUACGGUUUGUACGGGUUGGGUUGAUCCAAGGCCUUCAUGAACAAUACGGUUUGUACAGGUUGGGUUGGUCCAAGGUCUUCAUGAACAAUAAGGUUUGUACAGGUUGGGUUGAUCCAAGGCUUUCAUUCAAAAAGUUUUACGUUCAGCAGUUUUUCUUGAUUCU